UAGGGAAUCUUCGGCAAUGGACGAAAGUCUGACCGAGCAACGCCGCGUGAGUGAAGAAGGUUUUCGGAUCGUAAAACUCUGUUGUUUGAGAAGAACAAGGACGUUAGUAACUGAACGUCCCCUGACGGUAUCUAACCAGAAAGCCACGGCUAACUACGUGCCAGCAGCCGCGGUAAUACGUAGGUGGCAAGCGUUGUCCGGAUUUAUUGGGCGUAAAGCGAGCGCAGGCGGUUUCUUAAGUCUGAUGUGAAAGCCCCCGGCUGCACCGGGGAGGGUCAUUGGAAACUGGGAGACUUGAGUGCAGGAGAGGAGAGUGGAAUUCCAUGUGUAGCGGUGAAAUGCGUAGAAAUAUGGAGGAACACCAGUGGCGAAGGCGGCUCUCUGGUCUGUAACUGACGCUGAGGAUCGAAAGCGUGGGGAGCAAACAGG
Molecule: ribosomal RNA, 429 nt
Filed under: Chloroflexota bacterium
Lineage: Bacteria; Bacillati; Chloroflexota
Description: Chloroflexi bacterium partial 16S ribosomal RNA
Rfam family: Bacterial small subunit ribosomal RNA
Source: RNAcentral